RNAcentral lists this ribosomal RNA (253 nucleotides) under uncultured bacterium. RNAcentral describes it as "partial 16S ribosomal RNA". It matches the Rfam family "Bacterial small subunit ribosomal RNA", at positions 524 to 776 of the family's 1533-position model. The record is from RNAcentral.
UACGUAGGUGGCAAGCGUUGUCCGGAUUUACUGGGCGUAAAGGGCGUGCAGGCGGUCUGUUAAGUGCAGGGUGAAAGCUCCCGGCUCAACUGGGAGAGGUCCUUGCAUACUGGCGGACUUGAGGGGGGUAGAGGAAAGUGGAAUUGCCGGUGUAGUGGUGAAAUGCGUAGAGAUGUGGAGGAACACCAGUGGCGAAGGCGACUCUUUGGCCUGUAACUGACGCUGAGGCGCGAAAGCGUGGGGAGCAAACAGG